GCGGGCGUAGCUUAGUUGGUAGAGCGUAACCUUGCCAAGGUUAAGGUCGUGGGUUCGAGACCCAUCGCCCGCUCCA
This 76-nucleotide transfer RNA is filed under the name Candidatus Omnitrophota bacterium. RNAcentral's name for it is "tRNA-Gly". It matches the Rfam family "tRNA". Rfam says of the family: Transfer RNA (tRNA) molecules are approximately 80 nucleotides in length. The record is from RNAcentral. RNAcentral also lists the same sequence under 1 other name. Lineage: Bacteria; Pseudomonadati; Candidatus Omnitrophota.